This 492-nucleotide ribosomal RNA is filed under the name uncultured bacterium. Its description in RNAcentral is "partial 16S ribosomal RNA". It matches the Rfam family "Bacterial small subunit ribosomal RNA", at positions 29 to 507 of the family's 1533-position model. The record is from RNAcentral.
AGUGAACGCUGGCGGUAGGCCUAACACAUUCAAGUCGAACGGCAGCACAGUAAGAGCUUGCUCUUACGGGUGGCGAGUGGCGGACGGGUGAGGAAUACAUCGGAAUCUACUUUUUCGUGGGGGAUAACGUAGGGAAACUUACGCUAAUACCGCAUACGACCUACGGGUGAAAGCAGGGGAUCUUCGGACCUUGCGCGAUUGAAUGAGCCGAUGUCGGAUUAGCUAGUUGGCGGGGUAAAGGCCCACCAAGGCGACGAUCCCUAGCUGGUCUGAGAGGAUGAUCAGCCACACUGGAACUGAGACACGGUCCAGACUCCUACGGGAGGCAGCAGUGGGGAAUAUUGGACAAUGGGCGCAAGCCUGAUCCAGCCAUACCGCGUGGGUGAAGAAGGCCUUCGGGUUGUAAAGCCCUUUUGUUGGGAAAGAAAAGCAGCAGGUUAAUACCCCGCUGUUCUGACGGUACCCAAAGAAUAAGCACCGGCUAACUUCGUG